RNAcentral lists this ribosomal RNA (427 nucleotides) under Rhipicephalus decoloratus. RNAcentral describes it as "partial large subunit ribosomal RNA". The stretch from base 282 to 427 matches the Rfam family "Bacterial large subunit ribosomal RNA", at positions 2473 to 2619 of the family's 2925-position model. Lineage: Eukaryota; Metazoa; Arthropoda; Arachnida; Ixodida; Ixodidae. The record is from RNAcentral.
AAGUUUAUUUGAUUACAAGGUAUUGAAUAAGGUUUUAAUUGAAUGCUAAAAGAAUGGAAUAUCAAAGAAUAACUUUCUUAAAAUUAAAAAUUGAAAUUUUUUUAAUUUGUGUAAAAACAAUUAUAUAAAUUAAAGACAAGAAGACCCUAAGAAUUUUUAAAAUUUAAAUUAACACAUUUUUGUUUUAAUUAAAUUUUAACUGGGGCGGUUAAAAAAUAUUAAAAACUUUUUAAUUUUGAAAAUGACCCAUUAUUAAUGAAAAUAUGAUAAAAUACUCUAGGGAUAACAGCGUUAUAUUUUUUGAUAGAUCAUAUUGACAAAAAAGUUUGCGACCUCGAUGUUGGAUUAGGAUACUUUUUUAAUGAAGAUAUUAAAAUAAGAAGUUUGUUCAACUUUUAAAUUCCUACAUGAUCUGAGUUUAGACCGA